This is a non-coding RNA of Paramuricea clavata, 372 nucleotides long. The record is from the annotation of a GenBank genome assembly. NCBI's taxonomy places the organism in Eukaryota, Metazoa, Cnidaria, Anthozoa, Malacalcyonacea, Plexauridae.
GCGUAUCAAAAGACAGUUUAUGAGGAAACAAAGCAGGUUAUUCCAGGUCCAUAAUCGUAAAACACGUGAAAGUUAAUAUUAUGCGGUUUCCAACCUGAUGUUCUAUCGAAUUUCGAGGCUCUUGUAGCAGAGGCUUGAAUUUAGGCUAGCCUGAAGGUUGUAUUUCUGGAAUCUACGAUGCAUAAGCUUUCUGUCGAUGCCUCAUUCGUGCAUCACUAGGCCGGAUCUGGAGGAAAAAAGCACUUUCUUUCCAGCUGUGUAAUCGAAUGGUGGUGUCUACGUCGCGGUCCGACUCUUCGUUACCGAGAUACGGACGGUAACUUAAAAAGGGCGUGGUCAAAUUUUUUGAUGACGUCAUUUUCUAAAUCAGAA